CGAGGGGUCCAAGCGUUGUUCGGAAUCAUUGGGCGUAAAGCGAGUGCGGGUGGCUUCUUAAGUCAGGAGUGAAAGCCCAGGGCUUAACUCUGGAAGUGCUUUUGAUACUGGGAAGCUUGAGUGUGGGAGAGGGUGCUAGAAUACCUAAUGUAGUGGUGAAAUACGUAGAUAUUAGGUGGAACACCGGUGGCGAAGGCGGGCACCUGGCCCAACACUGACACUUAGACUCGAAAGCGUGGGGAUCAAACAGGAUUAGAUACCCUGGUAGUCCACGCCGUAAACGAUGGAUACUUGGUGUUGGAGGUAUUGACCCCUUCAGUGCCGAAGCUAACGCGUUAAGUAUCCCGCCUGGGAAGUACGGUCGCAAGAUUAA
This 373-nucleotide ribosomal RNA is filed under the name uncultured organism. Its description in RNAcentral is "bacterial SSU rRNA". It matches the Rfam family "Bacterial small subunit ribosomal RNA", at positions 526 to 897 of the family's 1533-position model. The record is from RNAcentral.